CGGCGUGCUUAACACAUGCAAGUCGAACGGAAAGGCCCUGCUUUUGUGGGGUGCUCGAGUGGCGAACGGGUGAGUAACACGUGAGUAACCUGCCCUUGACUUUGGGAUAACUUCAGGAAACUGGGGCUAAUACCGGAUAGGAGCUCCUGCUGCAUGGUGGGGGUUGGAAAGUUUCGGCGGUUGGGGAUGGACUCGCGGCUUAUCAGCUUGUUGGUGGGGUAGUGGCUUACCAAGGCUUUGACGGGUAGCCGGCCUGAGAGGGUGACCGGCCACAUUGGGACUGAGAUACGGCCCAGACUCCUACGGGAGGCAGCAGUGGGGAAUAUUGCACAAUGGGCGGAAGCCCGAUGCAGCAACGCCGCGUGCGGGAUGACGGCCUUCGGGUUGUAAACCGCUUUCGCCUGUGACGAAGCGUGAGUGACGGUAAUGGGUAAAGAAGCACCGGCUAACUACGUGCCAGCAGCCGCGGUGAUACGUAGGGUGCGAGCGUUGUCCGGAUUUAUUGGGCGUAAAGGGCUCGUAGGUGGUUGAUCGCGUCGGAAGUGUAAUCUUGGGGCUUAACCCUGAGCGUGCUUUCGAUACGGGUUGACUUGAGGAAGGUAGGGGAGAAUGGAAUUCCUGGUGGAGCGGUGGAAUGCGCAGAUAUCAGGAGGAACACCAGUGGCGAAGGCGGUUCUCUGGGCCUUUCCUGACGCUGAGGAGCGAAAGCGUGGGGAGCGAACAGGCUUAGAUACCCUGGUAGUCCACGCUGUAAACGGUGGGUACUAGGUGUGGGGUCCAUUCCACGGGUUCCGUGCCGUAGCUAACGCUUUAAGUACCCCGCCUGGGGAGUACGGCCGCAAGGCUAAAACUCAAAGGAAUUGACGGGGCCCCGCACAAGCGGCGGAGCAUGCGGAUUAAUUCGAUGCAACGCGUAGAACCUUACCUGGGUUUGACAUGGAUCGGGAGUGCUCAGAGAUGGGUGUGCCUCUUUUGGGGUCGGUUCACAGGUGGUGCAUGGCUGUCGUCAGCUCGUGUCGUGAGAUGUUGGGUUAAGUCCCGCAACGAGCGCAACCCUUGUUCACUGUUGCCAGCACGUUAUGGUGGGGACUCAGUGGAGACCGCCGGGGUCAACUCGGAGGAAGGUGGGGAUGACGUCAAGUCAUCAUGCCCCUUAUGUCCAGGGCUUCACGCAUGCUACAAUGGCUGGUACAGAGAGUGGCGAGCCUGUGAGGGUGAGCGAAUCUCGGAAAGCCGGUCUCAGUUCGGAUUGGGGUCUGCAACUCGACCUCAUGAAGUCGGAGUCGCUAGUAAUCGCAGAUCAGCAACGCUGCGGUGAAUACGUUCCCGGGGCUUGUACACACCGCCCGUCAAGUCAUGAAAGUUGGUAACACCCGAAGCCGGUGGCCUAACCGUUGUGGGGGAGCCGUCGAAGGUGGGACUGGUGAUUAGG
This 1432-nucleotide ribosomal RNA is filed under the name uncultured organism. RNAcentral describes it as "16S ribosomal RNA". It matches the Rfam family "Bacterial small subunit ribosomal RNA". The record is from RNAcentral.